Molecule: ribosomal RNA, 490 nt
Filed under: uncultured bacterium
Lineage: Bacteria
Description: partial 16S ribosomal RNA
Rfam family: Bacterial small subunit ribosomal RNA
Source: RNAcentral
AUUGAACGCUGGCGGCAGGCUUAACACAUGCAAGUCGAGCGGUAGCACAGGGGAGCUUGCUCCCUGGGUGACGAGCGGCGGACGGGUGAGUAAUGUCUGGGAAACUGCCUGAUGGAGGGGGAUAACUACUGGAAACGGUAGCUAAUACCGCAUAACGUCGCAAGACCAAAGAGGGGGACCUUCGGGCCUCUUUCCAUCAGAUGUUCCCAGAUGGGAUUAGCUAGUAGGUGGGGUAAUGGCUCACCUAGGCGACGAUCCCUAGCUGGUCUGAGAGGAUGACCGGCCACACUGGAACUGAGACACGGUCCAGACUCCUACGGGAGGCAGCAGUGGGGAAUAUUGCACAAUGGGCGCAAGCCUGAUGCAGCAAUGCCGCGUGUGUGAAGAAGGCCUUCGGGUUGUAAAGCACUUUCAGCGGGGAGGAAGGUGGUGAGAUUAAUACGUUCAUCAAUUGACGUUACUCGCAGAAGAAGCACCGGCUAACUCCGUG